GAGUUCAUAGUUUAAGAAGAAUGAUGGUUUUGUAAACUUUAGGUGUUGAAAAAGCUGGGCUCU
RNAcentral lists this transfer RNA (63 nucleotides) under Mactra cumingii. Its description in RNAcentral is "tRNA-Thr". The record is from RNAcentral. Lineage: Eukaryota; Metazoa; Mollusca; Bivalvia; Venerida; Mactridae.